UUCGCAAUGCCCGAAAGGGUGACGAAGCGACGCCGCGUGGGUGAGGAAGGCCCUCGGGUUGUAAAGCCCUGUCAGGAGUUAAGAAAUGUAAGUGUCGCAAUGCCCGAAAGGGUGACGAAGCGACGCCGCGUGGGUGAGGAAGGCCUUCGGGUUGUAAAGCCCUGUCAGGAGUUAAGAAAUGUAGACUCGCUAAUAUCGGGUCUAUUUGACAAAGGCUCCAAAGGAAGCCACGGCUAACUCUGUGCCAGCAGCCGCGGUAAUACAGAGGUGGCAAGCGUUGUUCGGAAUUAUUGGGCGUAAAGAGCACGUAGGUGGAUUUGUAAGUCAGACGUGAGAGCCUUCCGUUCAACGGAAGAAUUGCAUCUGAAACUACAAACCUUGAGUGUAGGAGGGGAGAAUGGAACUUCUGGUGGAGCGGUGAAAUGCGUAGAUAUCAGAAGGAACGCCGGCGGCGAAAGCGAUUCUCUGGCCUAUUACUGACACUCAGUGUGCGAAAGCUAGGGGAGCAAACGGGAUUAGAUACCCCGGUAGUCCUAGCCGUAAACGAUGGGCACUAAGUAGAGGGGUUUUA
RNAcentral lists this ribosomal RNA (571 nucleotides) under uncultured bacterium. RNAcentral's name for it is "bacterial SSU rRNA". It matches the Rfam family "Bacterial small subunit ribosomal RNA", at positions 65 to 833 of the family's 1533-position model. The record is from RNAcentral.